This 2943-nucleotide long non-coding RNA is filed under the name Homo sapiens (human). RNAcentral's name for it is "non-protein coding lnc-CDR1-3:1". Lineage: Eukaryota; Metazoa; Chordata; Mammalia; Primates; Hominidae. The record is from RNAcentral.
AUAAUUGUCUGUUGUAGAGUGAGGCUGUGUAUUGUUAGGGAGAUUUUUGCAUUAUGGAACUUAUCUGUGGGUUAUAGGGCAUGUCCUGGUGUGAGUAUGAGCAAUACAGGGCAAGUCAGUUUCUUGUAGGUUCACUGUAGGCAUUGUGAGGAAUAUGUGUAGUACUCUGGUACAUGACUGGCUCUUCAGGCAACUUUAGGUGUUACGGUAAUAUUGGAUUAGCUGUGGGGUAAGUCUUGGCAUUUUGUGAAUUUUUGCACUGUGAGGUAAAAUUGUUCAUUUUUUUUUUAACUGCAGGUGCACUGUCCAGCAUUUCUCUGUUCAGUGAAGCUAGUCUUUUUCUUCUUGACACCAAAAAGGUGUUUGUGGGGACAGUGUGCGUGUUGUGUGAUGAAUUCAUAUAUUAGAGGGCAUGUUUGUUUAUUGCGGGUAUUAAUUCUAUCUUAUCGGGCCAGUCUAGGUCCUGUGUUAUGGGGUGACUCUGGAUGUUAUGAGGCAUACCACUACACUCUGGGGUUUUCUGAACUUUGUCCAUUGUUUCUAUGUGCUGUGUGGAAAGUCUUGAUGUUGUGAAAGCAAAAAGAUGCUUUUUGUGGCCAGUCUGUAAGUUGUGAGAAGUCUCUUGGCUGUGGGCCAUUACUGUGUAUUGUAGGACAGUCUGGGUUGCCAGGCAAGUCUGAUUGUUGGAAGGUGUUUGAGUGAUAUGUGAUGUUUCUGGUUAUGUGGGGCAUGUCUGGGUGCUUUGGGGUAGGUCUAGGUAUUUUGGGGGUAAAUCCAGCUGUCACAGGAGAACCUGAGUGCUAUGAGGCGAGUGUAAGUGUUAUAGGGCAUGUCUGUUAUUUAUGUGUUUUUUUCUGUAUGUUAUCUAACAUUUUUAUGUGGUCUAAGGUGUGUCUUAAUGUUAUUGAGGCAAGUAAGUAUAGAGUCAGUCUAUGUUAUUAGGAUGGUUUGUGUAUUAUGGAGCACGCCAUGUGGUGUAAGGCAGGGGUCCCUAACCCCUGGGCCACGGACCAGUACCACUCCAUGGCCUGCUAGGAACCAGGCCACACAGCAGGAGGCGAGCAGUGAGUGAGCAAGCAUUACCACCUGAGCUCUGCCUCCUGUCAGAUCAGCUACAGCAUUAGAUUCUCACAAGAGUGUGAACCCUAUUGUGAACCGUGCAUGAGAGGGAUCAGGGUUGUGCACUCCUUAUGAGAAUCUAAUGCCUGAUGAUCUGAGGCAGUUAGGUGGGGGUAGAUCUGGAUGUGAUGUGUUAGUCUGAGUGUCUCAGGUUUGCUCAGCACUUCUGCGUGCUCUCAGCUAAGCGUUGGUGUUAUGAAAUAAAAAACCUAUUUUUCAGGACCAGUCUUUGUUGUCUGGAAAUUAUAUGUAUGAUGGGACACGUCCAUGUAUUUUGGGGAAGGCCUGGGUGUCAUGGGAUAAGUUCAGUUGUCCCCAAAAUAUACGGACAUGUCCGAUAAUACAUACAAUGUUGUGAUUCUGUGUGGCUUGGAGAAGUUGGCAUGUGUUACAGCAAGUCUUAGUAUUGUGAAUCAUAUCUGUAAUUGUAAGAAGUGUCUGUAUUGUCCAGCGAUUCUAUGCACAGGGAGGUAAGUGUUGGUGUUAUGGAGCAAGAAAGUGUUUUGUGGGAUUAGUCGUUAUGUUGUAGGAAGGAUUUGUAUAUGUAGGGUUAUGUCCAUAUACUGUGGCUCCUAUUUGGGUGUUCUGGAGCUAGUCUGGUUUCUGGGGGGUCAUUCUAGGUGUGGCAUAAUGUAUCUCUAUGUUUCAGAUGAGUCUCAGUGUUACAAGACAAGGCUAGUUGAAGUGGGGUAUGUCCAGGCCUUGUUGAGUCUAUGUGUAUUUUUGAGCAUUUCUUCUGAUUUUAAACUAAGUUUUGAAGAGACAAGGAAGUGUUUUAUGGAGACAGUUUGUGUGUUAAAGGUAGAGCCUGUGUAGUUCCAUGUGUUUAUUUUUUUUGAGGCAAAGUUUUGCCCUUGUUGCCCAGGCUGGAGUGCAGUGGCACAAUCUUGGCUCACUGCAACCUCCGCCUCUUGGGUUCAAGCGAUUCUCCUGCCUCAGCCUCCGGAGCAGCUGAGAUUACAGGCAUGCACCACCAUGCCCGGCUAAUUUUGUAUUUUUAGUGGAGACGGGGUUUCUCCAUGUUGGUGAGACUGGUCUCGAACUCCCAACGUCAGGUGAUCCACCUGCCUAGGCCUCCCAAAGUGCUGGGAUAACAGGCGUGAGCCACCGCGUCCGGCUGGAGCAAGUAUUUGUAUUGUGUGGUGAGUGUGUCUUUUGUGACAUGAAUUUGUGCACUGUAGGACAAGUUUGUGUGCUGUGGCACAAUUGUGUGCAUCAAGGAGUGAUAUAUGUUGUAAGAUGUACCGUUGCAUGUCUCUGUGGUGGGGUAAACUUGUCUGAAAGCUAUAGGGAGAGUCUCUGUAGUAUGGGUUUAGUCUGUGCUUUGCGGGGUGACUCUACGUGCUCUGCAGAGUGUCUGUGUGGUGCUGGGCAAGUCUGUGUCCUGAGGUGAUGGUCUGUGGCCUAUGGUGCUUGUCUGUACACAAUGGGGUGAGUCUGUCUGUUGUGGGAGAGUCUUUGUGUCAUGAUGCGGGUCUUCAAGCUGUCUCAUGAGUCUAUUCUCGGGAAAGUCUGUUUCAUUGGCAAGAGUCCCUGUGCUCUAGGACGAGUCUAUGGUCUGUGGUGAGAGUAUGUGAUGUCAGGGGUGUCUGUGUGCCCUGGGGAGAGUCUGUUUGCUGUGGGAAGAAGCUGUACACUCUAGAGAAAGUCUGUGUGCUGUGGGGUGAGUCUACUGGCCUUGAGAGUAUGUGUGCUUGUCGGGGAAGCCGUGUUCUAUGGGGUAAGUCUGUAUGCUGUGUGUUUCCUAAAAUGGGUUCGUGUGAUGUGGGAACAGUGUGUGAUGUUGGGAUUGUCUGUGUGUCAUAGUAGAGUCCUUAUGGGGGG